UGGACCUCAGAUCAGGCAAGAUCACCCGCUGAGUUUAAGCAUAUCACUAAGCGGAGGAAAAGAAACUAACGAGGAUUUCCCUAGUAACGGCGAGCGAACCGGAAGUAGCCCAGCUUG
RNAcentral lists this ribosomal RNA (117 nucleotides) under Frullania acutiloba. Its description in RNAcentral is "partial 26S ribosomal RNA". It matches the Rfam family "Eukaryotic large subunit ribosomal RNA", at positions 1 to 116 of the family's 3401-position model. The record is from RNAcentral. RNAcentral also lists the same sequence under 1 other name. Lineage: Eukaryota; Viridiplantae; Streptophyta; Jungermanniopsida; Porellales; Frullaniaceae.